UACAGAGGUCUCAAGCGUUGUUCGGAUUCAUUGGGCGUAAAGGGUGCGUAGGCGGCGCGGUAAGUCGGGUGUGAAAUCUUGGAGCUUAACUCCGAAACUGCAUUCGAUACUGCCGUGCUUGAGGACUGGAGAGGAGACUGGAAUUUACGGUGUAGCGGUGAAAUGCGUAGAGAUCGGGAGGAACACCGGUGGCGAAGGCGGGUCUCUGGGCAAUUCCUGACGCUGAGGCGCGAAAGCGUGGGGAGCAAACGGG
This 253-nucleotide ribosomal RNA is filed under the name uncultured bacterium. RNAcentral describes it as "partial 16S ribosomal RNA". It matches the Rfam family "Bacterial small subunit ribosomal RNA", at positions 524 to 776 of the family's 1533-position model. The record is from RNAcentral.